Molecule: small RNA, 26 nt
Filed under: Arabidopsis thaliana (thale cress)
Lineage: Eukaryota; Viridiplantae; Streptophyta; Magnoliopsida; Brassicales; Brassicaceae
Description: ATSL074950
Source: RNAcentral
UUUUUUAGUUUUUUUUUUCUCUUUUU